UUUGAUCCUGGCUCAGGAUGAACGCUAGCGGCAGGCCUAACACAUGCAAGUCGAGGGGUAUAGUUCUUCGGAACUAGAGACCGGCGCACGGGUGCGUAACGCGUAUGCAAUCUACCUUGUACAGGGGAAUAGCCCAGAGAAAUUUGGAUUAAUGCCCCAUGGUAUAAUUGAAUGGCAUCAUUUGAUUAUUAAAGUUCCAACGGUACAAGAUGAGCAUGCGUCCCAUUAGUUAGUUGGUAAGGUAACGGCUUACCAAGACAAUGAUGGGUAGGGGUCCUGAGAGGGAGAUCCCCCACACUGGUACUGAGACACGGACCAGACUCCUACGGGAGGCAGCAGUGAGGAAUAUUGGUCAAUGGACGCAAGUCUGAACCAGCCAUGCCGCGUGCAGGAAGAAGCAUCUAUGGUGUGUAAACUGCUUUUANACAGGAAGAAACAACGCUACGUGUAGCGUCUUGACGGUACUGUAAGAAUAAGGACCGGCUAACUCCGUG
This 494-nucleotide ribosomal RNA is filed under the name uncultured bacterium. RNAcentral describes it as "bacterial SSU rRNA". It matches the Rfam family "Bacterial small subunit ribosomal RNA", at positions 12 to 507 of the family's 1533-position model. The record is from RNAcentral.